GCCCAAGUGGUGGAAUUGGUAGACACGCCAUCUUGAGGGGGUGGUGGGGUAAUCCCCGUGCCGGUUCGAGUCCGGCCUUGGGCACCA
RNAcentral lists this transfer RNA (87 nucleotides) under Acidobacteriota bacterium. Its description in RNAcentral is "Acidobacteria bacterium tRNA-Leu". It matches the Rfam family "tRNA". From Rfam's summary of the family: Transfer RNA (tRNA) molecules are approximately 80 nucleotides in length. Their secondary structure includes four short double-helical elements and three loops (D, anti-codon, and T loops). Further hydrogen bonds mediate the characteristic L-shaped molecular structure. tRNAs have two regions of fundamental functional importance: the anti-codon, which is responsible for specific mRNA codon recognition, and the 3' end, to which the tRNAs corresponding amino acid is attached (by aminoacyl-tRNA synthetases). tRNAs cope with the degeneracy of the genetic code in two manners: having more than one tRNA (with a specific anti-codon) for a particular amino acid; and 'wobble' base-pairing, i.e. permitting non-standard base-pairing at the 3rd anti-codon position. The record is from RNAcentral. RNAcentral also lists the same sequence under 1 other name. Lineage: Bacteria; Pseudomonadati; Acidobacteriota.